GGGCUUGUAGCUCAGUGGCAGAGCACUUGCUUAGAAUGUAUGAGGCACUGGGUUCAAUCCUCAGGACCA
RNAcentral lists this transfer RNA (69 nucleotides) under Ictidomys tridecemlineatus (thirteen-lined ground squirrel). Its description in RNAcentral is "Spermophilus tridecemlineatus (thirteen-lined ground squirrel) tRNA". It matches the Rfam family "tRNA". From Rfam's summary of the family: Transfer RNA (tRNA) molecules are approximately 80 nucleotides in length. Their secondary structure includes four short double-helical elements and three loops (D, anti-codon, and T loops). Lineage: Eukaryota; Metazoa; Chordata; Mammalia; Rodentia; Sciuridae. The record is from Rfam by way of RNAcentral.